Molecule: unclassified non-coding RNA, 214 nt
Filed under: Glomeromycotina sp.
Lineage: Eukaryota; Fungi; Glomeromycota
Description: partial contains 5.8S ribosomal RNA and internal transcribed spacer 2
Rfam family: 5.8S ribosomal RNA (bases 1-71)
Source: RNAcentral
GUGAAUCAUCGAAUUUUUGAACGCGAAUUGCACUCUCUGGCAUUCCGGAGAGUAUGCCUGUUUGAGGGUCAGUAUUAAUAAAAAUUGGGGUGGGUGGUGCAUUGUGUGGUGACGGAAGGGAUGUGGGUCGUCUCGUCUUUGGUUAAGUGACUUAAAAUUUAGCAUGUUUGCUUAGAACGUAUUUAAAUGAUUUUAUGUAUGUUUGCGUUUAUGC